UGGGGAAUAUUGCACAAUGGGCGCAAGCCUGAUGCAGCCAUGCCGCGUGUAUGAAGAAGGCCUUCGGGUUGUAAAGUACUUUCAGUCGGGAGGAAGGUGUCAAGGUUAAUAACCUUGGCAAUUGACGUUACCGACAGAAGAAGCACCGGCUAACUCCGUGCCAGCAGCCGCGGUAAUACGGAGGGUGCAAGCGUUAAUCGGAAUUACUGGGCGUAAAGAGCACGCAGGCGGUUGAUUGAGUCAGAUGUGAAAUCCCCGGGCUUAACCCGGGCAUUGAAUCUGAGACUGGUCAGCUAGAGUGUGGUAGGGGGGGGUAGAAUUCCAGGUGUAGCGGUGAAAUGCGAAAAGAUGUGGAGGAAUACCGGUGGCGAAGGCGGCCCCCUGGACAAAGACUGACGCUCAGGUGCGAAAGCGUGGGGAGCAAACAGG
RNAcentral lists this ribosomal RNA (429 nucleotides) under Chloroflexota bacterium. RNAcentral describes it as "Chloroflexi bacterium partial 16S ribosomal RNA". It matches the Rfam family "Bacterial small subunit ribosomal RNA", at positions 355 to 776 of the family's 1533-position model. The record is from RNAcentral. Lineage: Bacteria; Bacillati; Chloroflexota.